AGCAGCCGCGGUAAUUCCAGCUCCAAUAGCGUAUAUUAAAGUUGUUGCAGUUAAAAAGCUCGUAGUUGAAUUUCGGGGUUAGUAGGUUGGUCAUGCCUCUGGUAUGUACUGGUCUCACUGAUUCCUCCUUCCUUAUGAACCGUAAUGCCAUUAAUUUGGUGUUGCGGGGAAUUUGGACUGUUACUUUGAAAAAAUUAGAGUGUUUAAAGCAAGCUAACGCUUGAAUACAUUAGCAUGGAAUAAUGAAAUAGGACGUUCGAUCUUAUUUUGUUGGUUUCUAGGAUUGACGUAAUGAUUAAUAGGGAUAGUUGGGGGGCAUUAGUAUUCAAUUGUCAGAGGUGAAAUUCUUGGAUUUAUUGAAGACUAACUACUGCGAAAGCAUUUGCCAAGGAUGUUUUCAUUAAUCAAGAACGAAAGUUAGGGGAUCGAAGACGAUCAGAUACCGUCGUAGUCUUAACCAUAAACUAUGCCGACUAGGGAUCGGAUGAUGUUAAUUUUUUAAUGACUCAUUCGGCGCCUU
This 520-nucleotide ribosomal RNA is filed under the name uncultured Glomus. Its description in RNAcentral is "SSU rRNA". It matches the Rfam family "Eukaryotic small subunit ribosomal RNA", at positions 569 to 1089 of the family's 1831-position model. Lineage: Eukaryota; Fungi; Glomeromycota; Glomeromycetes; Glomerales; Glomeraceae. The record is from RNAcentral.